Molecule: long non-coding RNA, 552 nt
Organism: Ananas comosus (pineapple)
Lineage: Eukaryota; Viridiplantae; Streptophyta; Magnoliopsida; Poales; Bromeliaceae
Exons: 6
Source: RefSeq, a predicted model, not a curated record
GGUGCUGGAGCUCAGAGAAGACUUCUUCACCUCCUCCACACUCUCUCUCUAGGGUUUUCUCUCUCUAAGGGAAAUUCGCCAUUUCGCGCCGAUUUCGAGCCGAGCUCGUUACUCGCUAGUUGGAAGACUUGGGGAAAGUCUUUGGAACGUGGGAGGGAGGAUUUAUACUGAUUUUUCUGUGAUCUUAACCUCAGGAAAACUGGGUCGCAGCUAUAGAAAGAGUUGGUGGAGGAUUUCAGCAGCUCAAGGUGACUUAGUUAGCUGUGAAUUAUCCACUUUACACCAGGGAUAAGUUGCUUUGACACUGGAACAAGGUCUUCGAGCUUCGUUGAGUUGAAUUUGUACUCUUAGAAUCUGGUUUGGAAGCUGCUCUAACCCAAGCGAGACUAUGAUCGAGCCUUGGAUUAUGUUCGGCUGAAUUGUGAGGACUCCUAGAGGUUACAUUUGAGCAGGAUUGAAGUUUGUUUAGUAGAGCUAAAUUUCGAGACGUCGUGGAACUGAUUUGAGCUCAGUAAUAGAGCCAUCUACAGGAGAGGCUAGGGAUCGUGGCAA